AUAUGAUACCUGGAGGGGGGAUACCAUUGGAUCACAAAGUGGUUUUUUCAGGGUAAGGGCCCAAUCCAUUGCUUCUGGGUGUGCUGGCCUUGCGCUUUCCCCCAAAUACAGGGGAAAAAUCGGAUCGUUAAUGUGUGGUAGUGACGAGACUGAGUUGUGCUUUCCCCUGAA
RNAcentral lists this small nuclear RNA (171 nucleotides) under Rhinopithecus bieti (black snub-nosed monkey). RNAcentral's name for it is "U1 spliceosomal RNA (ENSRBIG00000023452.1)". Lineage: Eukaryota; Metazoa; Chordata; Mammalia; Primates; Cercopithecidae. The record is from RNAcentral.